Molecule: ribosomal RNA, 483 nt
Filed under: gut metagenome
Description: bacterial SSU rRNA
Rfam family: Bacterial small subunit ribosomal RNA
Source: RNAcentral
AGUGGGGAAUAUUGCACAAUGGGGGAAACCCUGAUGCAGCGACGCCGCGUGAAGGAUGAAGUAUUUCGGUAUGUAAACUUCUAUCAGCAGGGAAGAAAAUGACGGUACCUGAGUAAGAAGCCCCGGCUAACUACGUGCCAGCAGCCGCGGUAAUACGUAGGGGGCAAGCGUUAUCCGGAUUUACUGGGUGUAAAGGGAGCGUAGACGGAAGUGCAAGUCUGAUGUGAAAACCCGAGGCUCAACCACGGGACUGCAUUGGAAACUGUGCUUCUAGAGUGCCGGAGAGGUAAGCGGAAUUCCUAGUGUAGCGGUGAAAUGCGUAGAUAUUAGGAGGAACACCAGUGGCGAAGGCGGCUUACUGGACGGUAACUGACGUUGAGGCUCGAAAGCGUGGGGAGCAAACAGGAUUAGAUACCCUGGUAGUCCACGCCGUAAACGAUGACUACUAGGUGUCGGGCAGCAAAGCUGUUCGGUGCCGCAGCU